Molecule: transfer RNA, 87 nt
Organism: Luteibacter sp.
Lineage: Bacteria; Pseudomonadati; Pseudomonadota; Gammaproteobacteria; Lysobacterales; Rhodanobacteraceae
Rfam family: tRNA
About the family: Transfer RNA (tRNA) molecules are approximately 80 nucleotides in length. Their secondary structure includes four short double-helical elements and three loops (D, anti-codon, and T loops).
Source: Rfam
GGAGAGGUGGCAGAGUGGUCGAAUGUACCUGACUCGAAAUCAGGCGUACGUGUAAGCGUACCGAGGGUUCGAAUCCCUCCCUCUCCG